Molecule: long non-coding RNA, 1202 nt
Organism: Heterocephalus glaber (naked mole-rat)
Lineage: Eukaryota; Metazoa; Chordata; Mammalia; Rodentia; Bathyergidae
Source: Ensembl
CUUUGUUAUCUUUGCUGGAUUCCUGUGUCCUGACACCUGGGCCCUGUUGGGAGCCUCAUACAGCCACGGGCCUCAAGGACAGUCCACAUGGGCCUCUCCCGAUGAUGUGCCACCCUCUGCCUCUGGCUAGGCCGGGUCUCCCAAGAUCUCCACGGAUGAAUGGGCUCUUGACUUCCUCAAGACCGAGCGACACUCAGCUGACCAACGUGAGCUGGAGGCGGGAGCCACUUGGGCCACAAACCACAGUCUACCCAGCCCUGGGCUUCAGGCUUUCUCCUGGGGCCUGGAGGAUGCAUGAGUUGACUUGGGUUGGAAUGGAGGGCAUAGCUGGCAGACGAGGACCAGAGCCCCCUAUCAUUAGCCUACUGUGUAUUCAUCCCCAACUCCAGAUGGGAGCCAAGCCCAGGGCUGCAGGGACAAAGCAUUGCUAUUAAGCUCUGAACCUUUCUGGAUCCAUUUCCUCAGCUCACCACCCUGAAGUGCCACUGAGGAAAGAUCAAUAAGAAAGCAGUGACCAAAUAGGCUUCAUUAUAAGUAACUGAUGUUGCAUCAAAAUAGAGUCCCUGUUGAAUGACCCAAUUUCUGUUGGGUUUUUUUUUUUCUCUGUUCAAAAGUACUACAUAAUCAUUGUGGAAAUUUUACAAAAUUUAGAUAAGACGAGAAAAUUAGAGACACCCAUGUCCUAUCAAAAGAGAUAGUCACUUUCAUGUGCAGAUAGAUUUGAUAUUUUUGUAACAGCUUUACUAAGACAAUUUGCGUAUAAAAUUCACCCUUCGUAAGUGUAUGUCCAGUAAGCUUUCGCUGUUGUAUACAUUGUAUAACCACUGUGAUACUCAAGAUAUGUCCAUCAUCCCAAAAAGUUCCCUUGGGUCAUUUUAUAGCCAAUCCUUUCUCCCCACUCUCUAUCUCAGGAAACCACCAUCUGAUUUCUGAAUGCUGUGUACAUGAGAUCAGACAGUGGGUAGCCUUUUGAUUCUGGCUUCUUUUCACUCAGCAGUGUGUUUUUGAGGUUCAUUCAUAUUUCAAAUUUAUCAAUCCAUUCUUUUUGGUUUUUUUGGUACCGGGGAUCAAACUCGGGUCCUUGUGCUUGCGCAGCAGGCAGAGAAACCACUGAGCUAAAUCCCCGGCCCAAUCCAUUCUUUUUUUGGUACUGGGAAUCGAACUCGGGGACUUGUGGUUGUGAGGCAAGGGGCAGAACCACU